CAGUCGCCGCGGGAAUACAGAGGGUGCGAGCGUUAAUCGGAUUUACUGGGCGUAAAGCGUGCGUAGGCGGCUUUUUAAGUCGGAUGUGAAAUCCCUGAGCUUAACUUAGGAAUUGCAUUCGAUACUGGGAAGCUAGAGUAUGGGAGAGGAUGGUAGAAUUCCAGGUGUAGCGGUGAAAUGCGUAGAGAUCUGGAGGAAUACCGAUGGCGAAGGCAGCCAUCUGGCCUAAUACUGACGCUGAGGUACGAAAGCAUGGGGAGCAAACAGGAUUAGAUACCCGAGUAGUCCCUGUCUCUUAUAC
Molecule: ribosomal RNA, 301 nt
Filed under: uncultured bacterium
Lineage: Bacteria
Description: partial 16S ribosomal RNA
Rfam family: Bacterial small subunit ribosomal RNA
Source: RNAcentral